Pristis pectinata (smalltooth sawfish) is the source of this 663-nucleotide long non-coding RNA. RefSeq lists it as uncharacterized. Lineage: Eukaryota; Metazoa; Chordata; Chondrichthyes; Rhinopristiformes; Pristidae. The record is from RefSeq and is a predicted model, not a curated record. The transcript is spliced from 4 exons.
CUGAACAUUUCCGCACGUUCUGUUCUCAUCCACAGAUUGUGUGCAGGAUGAACCUUUUGAUUUGGGAAUAUCCGAUGUAAUUCAGCUUCGCACCGGCACAGUGAGGUUGUGGACAUUGCCAGGGAAAAGGCAGACUGAAACACUCUGUGAGUGGAAGAACAAAGAUAAACAUGGUGUGACGGAUCAUUAAUGCCUGCAAGUAUGUGGGACAGAAGGUGGCCGCUCUGUGUGGGGGGAAAGGAGACGAUGGAGUGCCAUCGACAAAGUCUGCAGCUUCAGUCAAUCGGACUAAGUGCACGAAUGUAAAUGAUGGGAAAUCUGAAACCAAGUCUGCCCACAAGGACACACCACGGCGUGACCUGCAGUGUGGACCCUGAGGGUAAGGAGGCACUGGGGGUAAGGGGGCCUCGUCUUCUGCCCCUUCCUCAGUGUGCCCAGAAACUCAGCUCUCCGUCAAACAACCAACCAACCAACCUUUGCUUCGGGACCAGGAUCCAUGAAGACUUGUUCACAACCUCUCAAUGAAGAAAUGAACUUGUCUGAAAAUACUUUGCCUGUGCCACUGAAACAAAAGCAAAAGCAAGGAUUAUGUCCUAAAUUAAACACUUCCCUAUAUCCUGAAAAUCAUCACCAGUAACACCAAUAAACUGCUUUAAAUUCCUA